UCCGGCAACAGCGAUUAGCGAUAAUCGUUCCGCGCUCGCUAAUGAAUCUGCGCCU
This 55-nucleotide non-coding RNA is filed under the name Spodoptera frugiperda (fall armyworm). Lineage: Eukaryota; Metazoa; Arthropoda; Insecta; Lepidoptera; Noctuidae. The record is from RNAcentral.